UCAGUUAAGCAAAGGCUGCUUCGACGUGCUCCUGUCUGUUCUUCAGUCAGCGGACUCUUGUUUAACAGAGCUCAGCCUGGUGUAUUUUUCUAACGUCAGUGAUGGUUUUCCUUCUGAUCUCUUUGCUGGACUGGAAGGUCCUGACUGUAAACUGGAGACACUGAGGUUAUCUGGGUUUUCUCUAGACUGUAGCGACUGUCACAGACUGGUUUCUGUCCUUCGAUCAGACCCGUCACCUCUGACGGCACUUCAUUUGAUUAACUGCUUAUGCAGUUAUUCAGAGGAUUACAGUGGAUAUUGUACAAAUGACGUGAAGACCACUGGAAACCGUGGAGAUUUCAGUGAUGAGUCACACCUGCUGACUGUGAUUCCUUCUGCUUUGAUUGGUCCAGUCUGUAAACUGGAGCGGUUCAGGUGCCUGCAGUUAGUGCAAGGAUCAUCUUUCGUUUUCUCUCUGCAGGUUAUGAUGUGCAGAUGUUUUGCUUUGUUUGCAGCAUGCCUGGUUGUUUCCUGAAAAAUAACUGCUGGCAGGUGUUUGCCUCCGUUCUCAGCUCUAACUCCCAGCUGAGAGAGCUUGACCUCAGCCGCAACGACCUGAAGGAUUUAGGUGUGCAGCUGCUGUCUGUUGGACUUGGGAGUUUAAACUGUAGCCUGGAAACACUGAGGCUGUCAUGUUGUGGGAUCACAGAGGAAGGUUGCGUCUCUCUGGCCUCAGCUCUGAAGUCCAACCCCUCCCACCUGAGAGAGCUGGACCUGAGCUACAACCAUCCAGGCGUGUCAGGAGUGAAACUGCUGUUGGAGCGACUGGAAGACCCAGAAUGUAGAGUGGAAACGCUGAAGUCGGUACACUGUGUAGUAUACACAGGUUAUAUAUACAGUAGCUCCCUAAACUACGUUUUUUCUAAUAUGUGGGUGGUUAUCCAGAAAAUGUUGCUGUAUAGCUAGAACUGCUUAACCAGCUGAUUGCAGACCUUCAUCGACUCUCUUGGUUGUGUUCAACAGUCUGUGGACUGAUUUCUGUGUCAGGGACUCGAGACUAG
Molecule: long non-coding RNA, 1040 nt
Organism: Pundamilia nyererei
Lineage: Eukaryota; Metazoa; Chordata; Actinopteri; Cichliformes; Cichlidae
Exons: 3
Source: RefSeq, a predicted model, not a curated record